This 957-nucleotide long non-coding RNA is filed under the name Calidris pugnax (ruff). RNAcentral's name for it is "lncRNA (ENSCPUG00000001415.1)". The record is from RNAcentral. Lineage: Eukaryota; Metazoa; Chordata; Aves; Charadriiformes; Scolopacidae.
AUAAAGGGAAAACGGACUCACUAGGAGGACCUAGACUCUUUCAGCUUGAACUGUUAACCAAUGGUGGAAAUGCAAGAAUGCUGAAGUUGUUCCUUCGGAGCCAAUAGAGUGGAUUUGUGUGUCCCACAUGACUGUGUUUCCCCUGUCUUUCACAUGGGCAGUAUUUAGUUCAAUUCAGAACUGCAGAUAGUAUAGCGUGCAGAGCAGCAAUGGGAUGUCUGAGCACAAGUGGCUGACUUCCAGGCGACUUCAGGAAGCACAUUUUUACAUUUCUCCUGAAUUAAACUGGGAUUCUGCACCCUUGACAUCCUCCUACCCUCCUUGUCUCUGCAGGAGGAGACAGCGACCUGCACAGCACAACGAAACUAUUGCUUAAAAACAAAUGCAGAAGUUUGCUGCGAGGCAAAUGGAAGUUGGGCACCUUUGCCUUCCAGAGGUGGUAACUCUACCUUUCACUGAGAUUAGCAAAAUCUACAAAGUCUCUCUUCAAAACAAACGACAAAUCACCACAGAGCUGCAGACCAGCAAAUGAAGUGAACUGAGGGCAAUUUGACCAACUUCAUCCAAGUCGAUUCCCCAGAAGUUGAUGAAACGUGUUAUCGGGUCUCCAAGAAUACCACAAGCCUCGCAAGGUGCCUGUAUGAAAGGAACACACUUGGGCCAAACCAUCCCGUCAAUAUUAAACAAAGCACAGCCCAGUUCUGGCAUUCUUUCUUCUCUGAAGAAUUCUCAUGCCAGGUAGUUGAAAAUAACUUGCUUAUUUCUUUGCUGUUGAAUUAUUAUUUUUUUCUAGCAUCCCCCUUUAAGCACUAUUUACAUUUUAAGAUUCUGGAAAGAUAUCUGCUGCUUCUAAAGGGCCACAUAAGAUGCAGCUGCUCCACCACACUAUGGGUGAAGGAGAGGCCUGGUUAUGGGGACCCCCACACCUUCUCUCUCUCACAUAGCGAAGUAAACUCC